CACGUAGGGCGCAAGCGUUGUCCGUAAUUAUUGGGCGUAAAGAGCUCGUAGGCGGUUUGUCGCGUCUGCUGUGAAAACUCGGGGCUUAACUCCGGGCCUGCAGUGGGUACGGGCAGACUAGAGUGCGGUAGGGGAGACUGGAAUUCCUGGUGUAGCGGUGAAAUGCGUAGAUAUCUGGAGGAACACCGGUGGCGAAGGCGGCAUCCUGGACCGGCAUUGACGCUGAGGCGCGAAAGCCAGGGGAGCAAACGGG
RNAcentral lists this ribosomal RNA (253 nucleotides) under uncultured bacterium. RNAcentral describes it as "partial 16S ribosomal RNA". It matches the Rfam family "Bacterial small subunit ribosomal RNA", at positions 524 to 776 of the family's 1533-position model. The record is from RNAcentral.